RNAcentral lists this small nucleolar RNA (88 nucleotides) under Nomascus leucogenys (northern white-cheeked gibbon). Lineage: Eukaryota; Metazoa; Chordata; Mammalia; Primates; Hylobatidae. The record is from RNAcentral.
CAAGUUUUUUGAAACUAUUGAGAACAAAGAUGCAACAUACCACUCGAGUGUGCAGUGGGGAAACCAACCUUGGAGAGCCGAGCAUGUG